CAGUAGCCACGGGAAUACGUAGGGUGCGAGCGUUAAUCGGAAUUACUGGGCGUAAAGCGUGCGCAGGCGGUUUUGUAAGACAGGCGUGAAAUCCCCGGGCUCAACCUGGGAAUGGCGCUUGUGACUGCAAAGCUAGAGUGCGGCAGAGGGGGAUGGAAUUCCGCGUGUAGCAGUGAAAUGCGUAGAUAUGCGGAGGAACACCGAUGGCGAAGGCAAUCCCCUGGGCCUGCACUGACGCUCAUGCACGAAAGCAUGGGGAGCAAACAGGAUUAGAUACCCGCGUAGUCCCUGUCUCUUAUAC
This 301-nucleotide ribosomal RNA is filed under the name uncultured bacterium. Its description in RNAcentral is "partial 16S ribosomal RNA". It matches the Rfam family "Bacterial small subunit ribosomal RNA", at positions 509 to 807 of the family's 1533-position model. The record is from RNAcentral.